GACGAACGCUGGCGGCGUGCCUAAUACAUGCAAGUUGAGCGCUGAAGGUUGGUACUUGUACCAACUGGAUGAGCAGCGAACGGGUGAGUAACGCGUGGGGAAUCUGCCUUUGAGCGGGGGACAACAUUUGGAAACGAAUGCUAAUACCGCAUAAAAACUUUAAACACAAGUUUUAAGUUUGAAAGAUGCAAUUGCAUCACUCAAAGAUGAUCCCGCGUUGUAUUAGCUAGUUGGUGAGGUAAAGGCUCACCAAGGCGAUGAUACAUAGCCGACCUGAGAGGGUGAUCGGCCACAAUGGGACUGAGACACGGCCCAAACGCCUACGGGAGGCAGCAGUAGGGAAUCUUCGGCAAUGGACGAAAGUCUGACCGAGCAACGCCGCGUGAGUGAAGAAGGUUUUCGGAUCGUAAAACUCUGUUGGUAGAGAAGAACGUUGGUGAGAGUGGAAAGCUCAUCAAGUGACGGUAACUACCCAGAAAGGGACGGCUAACUACGUG
This 497-nucleotide ribosomal RNA is filed under the name uncultured bacterium. RNAcentral describes it as "partial 16S ribosomal RNA". It matches the Rfam family "Bacterial small subunit ribosomal RNA", at positions 28 to 507 of the family's 1533-position model. The record is from RNAcentral.